RNAcentral lists this ribosomal RNA (468 nucleotides) under uncultured bacterium. Its description in RNAcentral is "partial 16S ribosomal RNA". It matches the Rfam family "Bacterial small subunit ribosomal RNA", at positions 28 to 507 of the family's 1533-position model. The record is from RNAcentral.
GACGAACGCUGGCGGCGUGCUUGACACAUGCGAGUCGAACGGAAAGGCCCUGCUUUUGCGGGGUGCUCGAGUGGCGAACGGGUGAGUAACACGUGAGUAACCUGCCCUUGACUUUGGGAUAACUUCAGGAAACUGGGGCUAAUACCGGAUAGGAGCUCCUGCUGCAUGGUGGGGGUUGGAAAGUUUCGGCGGUUGGGGAUGGACUCGCGGCUUAUCAGCUUGUUGGUGGGGUAGUGGCUUACCAAGGCUUUGACGGGUAGCCGGCCUGAGAGGGUGACCGGCCACAUUGGGACUGAGAUACGGCCCAGACUCCUACGGGAGGCAGCAGUGGGGAAUAUUGCACAAUGGGCGGAAGCCUGAUGCAGCAACGCCGCGUGCGGGAUGACGGCCUUCGGGUUGUAAACCGCUUUCGCCUGUGACGAAGCGUGAGUGACGGUAAUGGGUAAAGAAGCACCGGCUAACUACGUG